UUUCUGCUCAGGACGAACGCUGGCGGCGUGCCUAAUACAUGCAAGUUGAGCGCUGAAGGUUGGUACUUGUACCAACUGGAUGAGCAGCGAACGGGUGAGUAACGCGUGGGGAAUCUGCCUUUGAGCGGGGGACAACAUUUGGAAACGAAUGCUAAUACCGCAUAAAAACUUUAAACACAAGUUUUAAGUUUGAAAGAUGCAAUUGCAUCACUCAAAGAUGAUCCCGCGUUGUAUUAGCUAGUUGGUGAGGUAAAGGCUCACCAAGGCGAUGAUACAUAGCCGACCUGAGAGGGUGAUCGGCCACAUUGGGACUGAGACACGGCCCAAACUCCUACGGGAGGCAGCAGUAGGGAAUCUUCGGCAAUGGACGAAAGUCUGACCGAGCAACGCCGCGUGAGUGAAGAAGGUUUUCGGAUCGUAAAACUCUGUUGGUAGAGAAGAACGUUGGUGAGAGUGGAAAGCUCAUCAAGUGACGGUAACUACCCAGAAAGGGACGGCUAACUACGUGCCAGCAGCCGCGGUAAUACGUAGGUCCCGAGCGUUGUCCGGAUUUAUUGGGCGUAAAGCGAGCGCAGGUGGUUUAUUAAGUCUGGUGUAAAAGGCAGUGGCUCAACCAUUGUAUGCAUUGGAAACUGGUAGACUUGAGUGCAGGAGAGGAGAGUGGAAUUCCAUGUGUAGCGGUGAAAUGCGUAGAUAUAUGGAGGAACACCGGUGGCGAAAGCGGCUCUCUGGCCUGUAACUGACACUGAGGCUCGAAAGCGUGGGGAGCAAACAGGAUUAGAUACCCUGGUAGUCCACGCCGUAAACGAUGAGUGCUAGAUGUAGGGAGCUAUAAGUUCUCUGUAUCGCAGCUAACGCAAUAAGCACUCCGCC
This 873-nucleotide ribosomal RNA is filed under the name Lactococcus lactis. RNAcentral describes it as "bacterial SSU rRNA". It matches the Rfam family "Bacterial small subunit ribosomal RNA", at positions 17 to 873 of the family's 1533-position model. RNAcentral also lists the same sequence under 1 other name. The record is from RNAcentral. Lineage: Bacteria; Bacillati; Bacillota; Bacilli; Lactobacillales; Streptococcaceae.